Molecule: ribosomal RNA, 459 nt
Filed under: uncultured bacterium
Lineage: Bacteria
Description: partial 16S ribosomal RNA
Rfam family: Bacterial small subunit ribosomal RNA
Source: RNAcentral
CCUACGGGUGGCAGCAGUGAGGAAUAUUGGUCAAUGGCCGGAAGGCUGAACCAGCCAAGCCGCGUGAAGGACGAAGGUGCCAAGCAUUGUAAACUUCUUUUGUCAAGGGACAAAAUCAGGCUCGAGAGCCUGACCGAGGGUACUUUAAGAAAAAGCAUCGGCUAACUCCGUGCCAGCAGCCGCGGUAAUACGGAGGAUGCGAGCGUUAUCCGGAUUUAUUGGGGUUAAAGGGUGCGUCGGCGGAGUGGUAAGUCAGCGGUAAAAGCCCGGGGCGCAACCCCGGCGAGCCUUUGAAACUGGCUGUCUUGAGAGGUAGAGAGGUAUGCGGAAUGCGCAGUGUAGCGGUGAAAUGCUUAGAUAUUGCGCAGAACGCCGAUUGCGAAGGCAGCAUAGCGGCGGCGAUCUGACGCUGAGGCACGAAAGCGUGGGUAGCGAACAGGAUUAGAUACCCGAGUAGUC